UNUGACUUGAGUGCAGAAGGGGAGAGUGGAAUUCCAUGUGUAGCGGUGAAAUGCGUAGAUAUAUGGAGGAACACCAGUGGCGAAAGCGGCUCUCUGGUCUGUCACUGACGCUGAGGCUCGAAAGCGUGGGUAGCGAACAGGAUUAGAUACCCUGGUAGUCCACGCCGUAAACGAUGAGUGCUAGGUGUUAGGCCCUUUCCGGGGCUUAGUGCCGGAGCUAACGCAAUAAGCACUCCGCCUGGGGAGUACGACCGCAAGGUUGAAACUCAAAGGAAUUGACGGGGGCCCGCACAAGCGGUGGAGCAUGUGGUUUAAUUCGAAGCAACGCGAAGAACCUUACCAGGUCUUGACAUCCCGAUGCUAUUCUUAGAGAUAGGAAGUUACUUCGGUACAUCGGAGACAGGUGGUGCAUGGUUGUCGUCAGCUCGUGUCGUGAGAUGUUGGGUUAAGUCCCGCAACGAGCGCAACCCUUAUUGUUAGUUGCCAUCAUUAAGUUGGGCACUCUAGCGAGACUGCCGGUAAUAAACCGGAGGAAGGUGGGGAUGACGUCAAAUCAUCAUGCCCCUUAUGACCUGGGCUACACACGUGCUACAAUGGUCGGUACAACGAGUUGCGAGCCGGUGACGGCAAGCUAAUCUCUGAAAGCCGAUCUCAGUUCGGAUUGGAGGCUGCAACUCGCCUCCAUGAAGUCGGAAUCGCUAGUAAUCGCGGAUCAGCACGCCGCGGUGAAUACGUUCCCGGGCCUUGUACACACCGCCCGUCACACCACGAGAGUUUGUAACACCCGAAGUCGGUGAGGUANCCUUUUAGGG
Molecule: ribosomal RNA, 812 nt
Filed under: uncultured bacterium
Lineage: Bacteria
Description: bacterial SSU rRNA
Rfam family: Bacterial small subunit ribosomal RNA
Source: RNAcentral